RNAcentral lists this ribosomal RNA (459 nucleotides) under uncultured bacterium. RNAcentral describes it as "partial 16S ribosomal RNA". It matches the Rfam family "Bacterial small subunit ribosomal RNA", at positions 338 to 795 of the family's 1533-position model. The record is from RNAcentral.
CCUACUGGAGGCAGCAGUGAGGAAUAUUGGUCAAUGGUCGGGAGACUGAACCAGCCAAGCCGCGUGAGGGAGGAAGGUACAGAGUAUCGUAAACCUCUUUUGUCAGGGAACAAAGACUGGGACGCGUCCCCGGAUGAGUGUACCUGAAGAAAAAGCAUCGGCUAACUCCGUGCCAUCAGCCGCGGUAAUACGGGGGAUGCGAGCGUUAUCCGGAUUUGUUGGGUUUAAGGGGUGAGAAGGGGGUUGGUUAAGUCAGCGGUAAAAGACCGGGGCUCAACCCCGGCCCGCCGUUGAAACUGGCAGUCUCGAGUGGAGGAGAGGUAUGCGGAAUGCGCGGUGUAGCGGUGAAAUGCAUAGAUAUCGCGCAGAACUCCGAUUGCGAAGGCAGCAUGCCGGCUCCACACUGACGCUGAGGCACGAAAGCGUGGGUAUCGAACAGGAUUAGAUACCCUAGUAGUC